RNAcentral lists this ribosomal RNA (240 nucleotides) under uncultured Lactobacillus sp. RNAcentral's name for it is "partial 16S ribosomal RNA". It matches the Rfam family "Bacterial small subunit ribosomal RNA", at positions 122 to 354 of the family's 1533-position model. The record is from RNAcentral. Lineage: Bacteria; Bacillati; Bacillota; Bacilli; Lactobacillales; Lactobacillaceae.
UAACCUGCCCAAGAGAUCGGGAUAACACCUGGAAACAGAUGCUAAUACCGGAUAACAACAGAUGAUGCCUAUCAACUGUUUAAAAGAUGGUUCUGCUAUCACUCUUGGAUGGACCUGCGGUGCAUUAGCUAGUUUGUAGGGUAACGGCCUACCAAGGCGAUGAUGCAUAGCCGAGUUGAGAGACUGAUCGGCCACAUUGGGACUGAGACACGGCCCAAACUCCUACGGGAGGCAGCAGAG